CUGGCAGACUUAUCUCAACAGCGCUGUGGAGUAAGGUCUGGCUACACCCCAGAUGCAUUCUGGGAUAGGAGGAAAACAACACUCUGGGUUGUUAGCAUUGCUUUAAAGGUGCUCUGC
Long non-coding RNA from Etheostoma spectabile (orangethroat darter), 117 nucleotides. RefSeq lists it as uncharacterized. NCBI's taxonomy places the organism in Eukaryota, Metazoa, Chordata, Actinopteri, Perciformes, Percidae. The record is from RefSeq and is a predicted model, not a curated record. The transcript is spliced from 3 exons.